Molecule: long non-coding RNA, 1072 nt
Filed under: Strigops habroptila (Kakapo)
Lineage: Eukaryota; Metazoa; Chordata; Aves; Psittaciformes; Psittacidae
Description: lncRNA (ENSSHBG00005009684.1)
Source: RNAcentral
UUUUUAUUGGGUUUUUUGGGUUUUCAGAUAUAUUUUUUUUUAAUCUCUGUGGGUUUGUGCGUCAACUGUUCUGGGCAAUCAGCUACGUCUUGUUGACAUAGCUAAUAGGGUUUCUGACUUGGCUGUUCAGUUGUGUUCUGAAAUAACUCAAUCAGACUCACAGCAAGUCAGGAACAAAAUGGAAAGUUUAGAAGAGGGAAAGCUGGAAAUUAAUUUCCGGAGCUGUGUGGUUAUUUUCUAAGUCUGGACUCUUCUGAGCAGCAUGCAAAACUUCUUGGUAAGAUUCUUGGAGACAAUUCCAUGCUAUUUUCAAAGGCUAUGUAUUUGUGGGAAUCCAGGCUCUUGCAGAUUUUCAGUGAGCUACCAAAGUGAAGAGAUAGCAGAUGUGAUUCAUGAGUGGGGGAAUGGUUUACCUUGGGAUGGCUGUAGUGAUUCCUGCUCUCUCAGGUGUUUCUUGAUCCUUUUGCAGACACAGCUCAGCUGUUUGUGAAGAACCUGUUGAUUGCUACAACCUAGCUGAUAAAGGAAAACUGGGGUGGAUUUGGGCUCUUCAAUCCUUCAAGCUCUACACUAAGGAAGUCUGGCUGCUCCUCCACAGUCAGUGAAGCUGUCCACACCGCAGGUAUGCAAACUAUUGACAGGGUGAGCAACCUUGGUCAUGAGUUAACCCUGCACUGCCUUCUUUGAAGCUAGACAGCAUCUUCCUGUACUACACUCCUCUCUGCAAUACAGCCAUACCCUGAAACUCAAGAGGGUUGCAAGUGUGUAAAGAUCCCUGUAAAUUGUGUGUUCAAGACAACAAACAGCAUGGGACACUUGGAAUGACAGUAGUUUUGAAAUAGGGAAUUUGGCUCCUAAAUCAAUUGGGCACUUUUAGGAAAUAGCCCUUCAGCUAUUCAGUUUCCUCAAUCUCCCCUGCACACUCUUGGCUGGGCUCACAGAAGAGGUGGUCAUGCUCUGGUAUAAGCUUUUCUCCUACCUUUGGUUGUGCUGCGCCUUGCUAUGGUAUAUAAACAUCUAGCUGCUAGCAAGUGCACCUUGUGCCUGUUUUCUUCCUCUUUUUCUUGGUGAU